Molecule: transfer RNA, 67 nt
Filed under: Scolia bicincta
Lineage: Eukaryota; Metazoa; Arthropoda; Insecta; Hymenoptera; Scoliidae
Description: tRNA-Phe
Rfam family: tRNA
About the family: Transfer RNA (tRNA) molecules are approximately 80 nucleotides in length.
Source: RNAcentral
AUUUAAAUAGCUUAAAAUUAAAGCAUAACAUUGAAGAUGUUAAAAUGAUUAUUAAUAUCUUUAAAUA